This 253-nucleotide ribosomal RNA is filed under the name uncultured bacterium. RNAcentral describes it as "partial 16S ribosomal RNA". It matches the Rfam family "Bacterial small subunit ribosomal RNA", at positions 524 to 776 of the family's 1533-position model. The record is from RNAcentral.
GACAGAGGUGCCGAGCGUUAGGCGGAAUCACUGGGCUUAAAGCGUGUGUAGGCGGCUUCCUAAGUACCUUGUGAAAUCCCACGGCUUAACCGUGGAACUGCUUGGUAUACUGGGUGUCUUGAGCCAACUAGGGGCGACCGGAACAAACGGUGGAGCGGUGAAAUGCGUAGAUAUCGUUUGGAACGCCAAUGGUGAAAACAGGUCGCUGGGGUUGUGCUGACGCUGAGACACGAAAGCCAGGGGAGCGGACGGG